RNAcentral lists this ribosomal RNA (468 nucleotides) under uncultured bacterium. Its description in RNAcentral is "partial 16S ribosomal RNA". It matches the Rfam family "Bacterial small subunit ribosomal RNA", at positions 28 to 507 of the family's 1533-position model. The record is from RNAcentral.
GACGAACGCUGGCGGCGUGCUUAACACAUGCAAGUCGAACGGAAAGGCCCUGCUUUUGUGGGGUGCUCGAGUGGCGAACGGGUGAGUAACACGUGAGUAACCUGCCCUUGACUUUGGGAUAACUUCAGGAAACUGGGGCUAAUACCGGAUAGGAGCUCCCGCUGCAUGGCGGGGGUUGGAAAGUUUCGGCGGUUGGGGAUGGACUCGCGGCUUAUCAGCUUGUUGGUGGGGUAGUGGCUUACCAAGGCUUUGACGGGUAGCCGGCCUGAGAGGGUGACCGGCCACAUUGGGACAGGGGUACGGCCCGGACUCCUACGGGAGGCAGCGAUGGGGGAUAUUGGACAAUGGGCGGAAGCCUGAAGCAGCAACGCCGCGUGGGAGAUGACGGCCUUCGGGUUGUAAACCGCUUUCGGCUGUGACGAAGCGUGAGUGACGGUAAUGGGUAAAGAAGCACCGGCUAACUACGUG